This 494-nucleotide ribosomal RNA is filed under the name uncultured bacterium. Its description in RNAcentral is "partial 16S ribosomal RNA". It matches the Rfam family "Bacterial small subunit ribosomal RNA", at positions 28 to 507 of the family's 1533-position model. The record is from RNAcentral.
GACGAACGCUGGCGGCGUGCUUAACACAUGCAAGUCGAACGGUGAAGCGCCUUCCUUUUUGGUGGGUGUGGAUGAGUGGCGAACGGGUGAGUAACACGUGAGUAACCUGCCCCCUUCUUCUGGAUAACCGCAUGAAAGUGUGGCUAAUACGGGAUAUUCUGGGUCUGUCGCAUGAUGGGUCUGGGAAAGAUAUUGUUUCGGUGGGGGAUGGGCUCGCGGCCUAUCAGCUUGUUGGUGGGGUGAUGGCCUACCAAGGCGGUGACGGGUAGCCGGCCUGAGAGGGUGGACGGUCACACUGGGACGGAGACACGGACCAGACUCCGACGGGAGGCAGCAGGGGGUAAUAUUGCACAAUGGGCGCAAGCCUGAUGCAGCGACGCCGCGUGAGGGAUGGAGGCCUUCGGGUUGUGAACCUCUUUCGCCAGUGAAGCAGGCCUGCCUCGUUUGUGGGUGGGUUGACGGUAGCUGGAUAAGAAGCGCCGGCUAACUACGUG